GCAAGAAGAUAUUCUCUGCUAAUCAGAAGGCCUGACAAAUGCCGUCAUAAUUUUCAAGCAAUGAGCAGACUGGAUGGAGGGGCAGUUAACAGACAUACUUGCUGUUGAAUCACAGGUAACAAAUGGGGAUGUGAACUCCAGAAAGAACAGAGAGUACAAGUGAAAGUCUCUUCUCUCCCAGAGGUACUACUUCCUGAACUCCAUUGGAGGUGAUAGAUUCCUACCUUGGGAAUCGUGAAUUUGCAAGAAAUUAUAUUCAUUCGAUAUUAGACGCUGGCUUCACCACCACCAUUUUCCAUAAAUCUGUCCCAUCAUUUGCAUCACCCAACACAAACAGAUGAGUAUAUUCUUUGAUUACAAAAUAACAGUACUUUGAAGUCUCCCAGAAUCCCACUAAAAUGUGGAUCCCUAAAAAAUUUUCAAGAGAAAGACUCUGCUUCUACUUGGAACAUUCUCCACCAGACCAUUUCAUGGACUGUCUUCCUUUCUUUUUUCUUUCUUGUUUUUUGCCCUUUCAUAUUUCUGCUCAGCUGUUACAUCUUCAGCAAGGUUGUCACUGACCACUGUCUACAUAUGUCAACCACCCCUUUAUAUACAUUAUAUUUCUUGUUGAUUACAUCUCUAACCAUACUGCAUUGCUUUCAAUAUUCUCAAUAAAAUUUGAAUGAGUUAUGAAAUUUUGAUUUAUGUAUAUAUGCAAGAACUCAACUUGCAGUAUUUCUGGCUUCCCUUCCAAGAUGCUCCCUGAGCCAGAUGAUCAGGAAGCCUGCUAUGAACAGUCUCUCCUAGAAAUCGCUGAAUGAACAGAACUAGAACAAUGGCAAAGUCAAUAGACAUGCUUAUGUGGAGGGAUGGAAAUUUUAUGGGAUCCCACCCAAAAAAAAAAAGAAAUAUAGGCAGCUAAAGACUGCUGGAAGAGGGCUAAUUAGCCUGUCCUGAGCCUUUAUUCGUUAUCUAUUAUAAAGUGUUCAGCCCUGAAACUAUAUACACACAAACAACAGAAACAGAGUCAGCAUGUUGUUUUUUAGAUAUGUGCAUACAUGCGUAUGUAUGUAUGUGACAUUAACAAAGAAAAAGAGGGUAUCAACUUUGAAAGUGGGAAAUGGCAGGGGAGUGUUUGGAAGGAGGAUAUCUGGGAGGGGCUAGAGGGAGGAAAGAGAAGCAGUAAAGUGAUGUAAUUCUAUUUUCAUUAGAAAUGCAGUUUAUAAAUUAACAGAGAAGAGAACUCUGCUUAUAAUUACACAUGAAGUAUGUUAUUAUAAGAUAAUAAUAAUUUUCAUAAGCAAAUUAUGAAUUUUCACUAGCAGUACCAAAGUAAUUUGUAAUGUAUUCUAUUGCUCAACAAAAGUAGAGAUGGGAAAACAGAUAAUUCUCUCAAAUACUUUUCAGUAUCUUCAUUUAUUCUGUUUUAUUUUAUUGGGUUAAAAAUAAGCCAUCAUGUAAAUGAGAACUUGAGAUAAUUGUUUAAGCUGGGUUUUUUUAGUUAUUUUUAUUUUUAUUUUUUUUAAAGCACUAACAACUGCCCAUCUUCAUUUGCAGAAGCGGCAAGUCAUAGUUCCAAGCUAUUUUAUGGCACAUAGUAUACAAAUGUCUGUCUGUCCAUGUCUCUGUCUCUGUCUCUCUCUCCCCUUCUCUGUUUGUGUGUGUGUGUGUGUGUGCGCGUGUGUGUGUUCGUGUGUGUGUGUGUGUGUGUGUGUGUGUGUGUUACUAUCAAAACAAUAACUCUGGAAAGAAUGUUUUCCAAAGUCCAUAAUGCUUACUGUAAAUUAGACCAAUAUUUAACUAAAAAGUUACCAAAAUUUUGAAUAUCAACUUGAACCUUGAUGACUCUUCUCUUUAUAUACAUAUUUGAGACCCCUCCCCCUUAGGAUUAUAGGUCUACUGCCACACUCUGCUUUUAUAGGAGUGCUAGAAAUCAGAAUUCAAGGCCCUAACACUUUUAAAGCAAUUUCUUCGCCAGCUAAACCAACUCCUCCAGCCUUCAGGGAAAAAAUCUUAAGUGUUAACAUUGCUGCUGAUACACAAGCAGAUUUUCUACAUCAAUAUUAGUUCCAGGUCACAUUUCAAGCAGGCAUCACAAUAUCAGCUGUUUUACAAUUCAAUUUGGCAUUUCCAAUGAAAAACUCAACACACCACUCAGCAAUCCUAUCUAGUGCCUUAGCAAUGAUGUUCCAACUGGGCAUCUGGCUAAAAUACUCAGCCUCGCUGACAUGCCUUGUAUCCACUCUUGAGAGUCUACAUUCUGGCAUGUUAUUUGGAACCUCAAAUAUGGCAUGUUCUCUUCUAUGAGACAAAGGAAGGCAGAAAAAAAUAUAUGUAACACUUAAUAGCAGCUUAAGUCUGAUAAAAUCUGACAUUCUUGUUUUACAUUCUUUUCCAAAAUAAUGAUAUUUUACUUUCCUAAAUAAAAUAUAAUCUUGACCCAAUUUAUAAAAAUAGCAAGAAAGUAUUCAUUCAUUUCCAAUUGUAUUGGUAAGUUUAUUUAUGGAUUAUAACAAAGUAUGUGCUAUGGGGAACUGAGCUAUGAAUCUUCAUCACUUUCCUCAUUGUUUAUAUAGAGGAAAAUAAAAUAUGUACUAGUUACUAAUAAUUCAAAGCAAAAAAUAAUCUGAUUUCUUCUGUAUCUUUCCGAAUGCUUUUGGACAUUAGUGAAGAAACACACAGAAUCGAAUUGAGGAGCUUCCACAUCGCAUCUUAGUGAUGAGCUGGACUGUGCCUUGGUAAAGAGAUGUGUUUCUCCAAGGAACUUGCUUUCCCACCUGCAGAGACAGUUUCUAUGUCCUGCUUCUUCCACACUGGAAGGUCUUAACCAUCCCCUCACUGAAACAGUAGAUGGGAUCAACUCCGGGCUUUCUCACGUUUUCACUGCCAGAUCUGCACUCUCCUGGACCCCUGCAUGUGUUCUCAUCUCAGAACCAGGCACGACUGUCUUUGUCAACUAAACCCACUGUCCUUGUGUAGAUAAUCCUGAGUGUCUUCCCAAAAUGUCUGAAUGUGUGUGUCAGUUGGCUCUUCCUCCCUUCUUGCAUCAUUGGUUUUCCUCUCCUGAAUGGACUGUCCCAUAAUUAGUUCUUCAAAUUAAAAAAAAAAAAAAGAAGAACAGUCCAGCAUGAUGAGAUAGCUCAGUCAAUAGAGUGCUUGCUUUACAAGCAUGAGUACCUGAGGUCAAUCCCCAGAAAACUGUAAAAAUACUGAGCAUGAUAGCCUGCUUGUAAUCGUGGGUUUAGGGAGAUAGAGAUAGGAGGAUUCCUGGGGUUCAUUCACUAGUCAGUUUAAUCGGUAAGCUCCAGGCCAAUAAGAGACCUUUUUUUUGGUUUUGUUUUGUUUUUGGUUUUUGGUUUUUUUGAGACAGGGUUUCUCUGUGUAGCUUUGUGCCUUUCCUGGAACUCACUCUGUAUUCCAAGCUGACCUUGACCUCACAGAGAUCCGCCUGGCUCUGCCUCCCGAGUGCUGGGAUUAAAGGCGUGUGCCACUACCGCCCGGCAAGAGACACUUUUCAAAGGAGAUGGAUGAUAUUCAAGAGAAUGACACUCAAGGUUGUCAUCUCUUUGCCAGAUGUGCAUACACACACACACACACACACACACACACACACACACACACACACGCACUACAGAUGAGUUAAUUUUCAACUCAAUUUUCUCCUAACUUCUACUGUUUGUUCAUGGUUUUUUUCUAUAAACUUUUAAAAUUUUUUCUUUUAUAUCCUUUAAUUCAUGACCAAAUUUGCUUUCACUCCAAACACUCUCUGAUCAAUGACCUUAUCAAAGCUCCAGUUUGUCUCCAUUUUGCAAAAAUUAGUGAAUAUUUUUUGAGAGUUCCAUAGACUCUCAGCAACAUUAGAUAUCAUUUAAUAGUUCUUUGUCCUUAAGCAAAAGCAGACUCUUCUCUUUUACCUUAUUGAGCUGCUCAUAGCCCUCUCCUCUCUACAUGCCUCCUCCAGGGAAUGUAUGUAUUUUCUAGGUCUUUAAAUCAUUUGUGUCUUCUUGAUUUAUAAUUCUAGCCUGACUGCCUUCUCUAAGCUCCAAUUGCUCCAUAUCCAAUUGCUUUCUCUCCCAUUGGACUUGCAUCUUUAGCAGAGUUUUCGAGUGUUAAAUGUUCUAAAAUUAUCUUGAUUAUUCUUAGGAAAAAACAGUGUGUUUUUAACCAUCUGCAUUUGGCUCACCCAAUCCCCAAACUGAUUCUCUUUGUAAUUCACACUCAUAUCCAGUUUAUGAAUAAGAUCAAUAGAGUCUCCUUCUAAAAUGCAUAUAAGAUCUGACCUCUUCCUUUUCAAAAAACUGGUCUUAUCCUCAUCCAGAUUAUCAUCUCUUAGAAUAUGAAACAGCCUAGUUAUUCCCAUACUUACACUCUUUUUGUAAUUAUUUCUUUUAUUUUUGGAGAUUAUAAUUACAUCAUUUCUCCUUUCCCUUGUCUCCCGCAUUCCUUCCCAUAUGCCACUCCUUUUCUCUUGAAAAUUUAUUACUUUAUUUUUUAUUAACUGUUGUUUAUAUAUAUAUAUGUGUGUGUGUGUGUGUGUGUGUGUGUGUGUGUGUGUCUAUGUGUGUAUAGUUAUUCCUAAAUACAUAAGUAAAACCCACUUAGUGUAUAUAAUGUUACUUGUAUGUGUAUGAUUUCAAGGCUGACUGUUUGAUAUUGGAUAACCAGUUGAUCUGCUUUUCCCUGGAGAAGACUAUUUCUCCUGCCCUAAGCAUUCCAAAUUGCCUGUAGUUCUUUGUGAGAAUUCAUGGGCUUUCCCUUAUCCACAAUAGCAUAUCCAUGGUUGUUGCCCUUGUUCAGCUCGCAUUUAAGCAGUCAUUAUUUUUGCCUGCUUUAGGUCUCUACACAAUAGAAGACUAUUGUUCUUACAAAGUUAAUUCAUGUCAUUACUUUCAUCAAUCAUGGUACUGUGAUGGAAAGAAAUAGGCCUCUGAAUAUUGAAAGGUAUUUACAUUUUGUUUCUUGAAAUUUAGGGGCAAACACCAGGAUAACAGGUGAGCUUUUGCAAAGAUACAGAAGCAGAGAAGUGGAAACAUUAAACUGAACUUUCAGCUGGGCCUGCAGAAUACACAGAGCACACUUCAAAUUUUCCACCUUCCUUGCAAACAGUUUGCAACUGAGAGCAUUCCAACUGAAUCAUGAAACCUCAUGUUAUAGGUACAGGACUUCAGUCUAUCCCCUGGAGUUGCUAUUGAAUGUGUUGCUUCACUAAGUACAGGUUGGACUACAGUGAUCUCUUACAACCUUCUAAUUAAUUCCAGAUGGAAGAAUUACAGCAUUUGGAGGAUCAGAAUCCCUGACAUUUAGUAUUUGCCCCAUAUGUUUACUGACGGCCCCAUCUGUGGCAGUUCUUUGGGGGAAUAACAGCGGGACUGUCUAAUUCACCUUGGCUGCUGCUUUCCUUCCAAGCUCAAAGAGGAAAGUGGCCAACUGUUAUCAAGGACAGACAUUUUCUAAGUUCUUCAUAAACCAACUCUUCCAAGCACCUCUUCUGGGGCUCAAGGAGAAACUCAGUGGCAUAAUGCUUAUCUAGAAUGGAUAGAGCUAUGGAUUUCAUUCCAGCACCAUAAACGUUUUGAACUUUCUUCUAUUGUCUGCUCUUUGAACGGUGGAGUGGCAGGCAUGUGACUUCACUUACUGAGUAAGCUAUUAACUUUAGAUUAUUUAAUUCUAAUCUUGUUGUACCUAAAUUUCGUCACUCUCUUCUUCAUUUUAGCACUAUUUACUCCUCCUUUACCUAUACUACUGAACACUUACAUUCUGACCUUUCAUUGCAUGUGUUUGUAAAUAUUUAUAUUCUGUCUAUAUAAUGCCAUGGUCAUAGUCUUGGCUUCUGAAUUAUGCACUAUAAUACUUUAUGUUUAGUAAAACAGGCCAAGUUGACAAUAACCUGGUUUUCAGUAAUUAGUGUGUUUUGAUUAAGAUUGCUACAGUAACUCGUUUUACUUUGGACAUUUUAUUAUCUCACAGACAAAAUACAUUUAUUUCAGAAAUAGA
This is a long non-coding RNA of Peromyscus californicus insignis, 5976 nucleotides long. RefSeq lists it as uncharacterized. The record is from RefSeq and is a predicted model, not a curated record. NCBI's taxonomy places the organism in Eukaryota, Metazoa, Chordata, Mammalia, Rodentia, Cricetidae. The transcript is spliced from 6 exons.